GACACGACAUCCAGUGUGAGAGCAUCUUGGAUUUGCUGUGAAGUGACGUGAAUGUCUGAUGUGAAUCGACCUAAAUAUAUCAGUAACUUUGAUUGUUUGUAUAGGUGCUCAAAUACAACUACGUUGGCGCUUUCGGUAAGGUAGACUUCAGCCGUAGAGCUAUAAUCUCUGCAAUGUUUACCUACAGAGGUACAAGCAUAUACGAAAGGUUGUUGAAGUGUAUAUGCAUUUCUGCAGUUGCGCUUCGUAGAUUGUACCAGAAAGUUGUACCAGAAAGUGCUGUCGUUUCUGGAGUAAUUAGAGGAUAUACUAUUGUAACACGCCUUUCGAGUUGUCCCUGCUUGGAGUUCUGAGUAAAGGACUAUUUUACCUACAGAAUAUUUUGCCUAAGAGAAUGCUACUAUGGUUAAAACCACACACCAGGGCUGCAUCUUCUUGCUGUAAUACUUACGUGAAAUGACACGGAAACGACUCAACUUCAUCUGAUGUGACUGUAAUUGGGUGUUAUCCUCUUGGUUGUUAUGAAGGUGCCUGGUGACAAGUAAACAUGAUCAUCUAUGUAACAUCCACCACAGUUGACAGGAAGUGCAACUCAAAGCAUUAGAUAACCUGUAAAAGCAGUUUCACUAUGGAUGCAGUAACUAAACACAAAGAAACACUGCUGUGAAUAUGAGGAUGUCAGAGAUCUAUAAGUAAUUUAAUAAUGAUCCAGUGUGAUUCAGAAAGUGACAGUGAUUGAAACAUUAGUAAAAUCUUUGUGCUACAGUAAUUAAACUUUGCAGUUAGAAUGUGAAUGGAAUGUUCAAGUUAAAAGUCAGUGUGAUGUGUUCAAUACAGCUGAUUUGCUCUCAACCAACUGACAUGCUAUACAGCUGUAAAUAUAUACAAGGUGUUUCACUAAAUGUGUUUGCCUCUGUAAGUUACGAAGUAAUAGGCAGUGGAAAUAUUUAUUGCAGUAGGUCACCAUAAGAAAUGUUACACUGUCUGCAGAGCU
This is a long non-coding RNA of Schistocerca piceifrons (Central American locust), 994 nucleotides long. RefSeq lists it as uncharacterized. NCBI's taxonomy places the organism in Eukaryota, Metazoa, Arthropoda, Insecta, Orthoptera, Acrididae. The transcript has 5 exons. The record is from RefSeq and is a predicted model, not a curated record.